CUUGUACACACCGCCCGUCACACCACGGAAGUUGGGGGCGCCCGAAGCCACUUAGCUAACCCUUUGGGAAGCGAGUGUCGAAGGUGAAAUCAAUAACUGGGGUGAAGUCGUAACAAGGUAUC
Molecule: ribosomal RNA, 122 nt
Filed under: uncultured bacterium
Lineage: Bacteria
Description: partial 16S ribosomal RNA
Rfam family: Bacterial small subunit ribosomal RNA
Source: RNAcentral